This is an RNA transcript of Metopolophium dirhodum (rose-grain aphid), 3773 nucleotides long. RefSeq lists it as uncharacterized. NCBI's taxonomy places the organism in Eukaryota, Metazoa, Arthropoda, Insecta, Hemiptera, Aphididae. The record is from RefSeq and is a predicted model, not a curated record. The transcript is spliced from 10 exons.
GCAACAUUUUUUAAAUUAUUUCACAUACUUUUUCUUGUUUCUAUAAGUAGCAAUCUUAGAUUUAAUAUUAAUAUUUAAUAGUGUACCUAUAAAUUUGUGUCUAUCAUUAUAUAAUGUAACUCUUUACCUCCAUCACAAGCAUAUGCUUAAGGGAGGUAGAUAAUUUAUUGUAAAAUUUAAUCUUAAUGUUUUAAUUUACUUGUAUUAUAAGUGUUUUCUUUACAAUAAAAAAUCAAAAAAAAAAAAAAAAUCUAUACGGUUAUUUGUUUUUGAAUUAAGACAAAAUAACAUAAUCGAUUUGGUCAAAAAUUAGUUAUGCGUUAAAAUUGGGUAUAUAUACAUAGGCGUAACUAGGAGGGGACUUUGGUGUCUAACCCGCCCCCCCUUGAAACAAAUUUUAGCCCCCCUGUCAAAAUGUCUAGUCCCACCAACGGUAGGUUCAUUUUUCAAAUUUAAUUUUAAAUAUCGUUUUUUUUUUUAUUAAUAUCUUGGAAAAAUAUUUAUUUUUUUUGGUUAUCAAAUUGUUGUGUAAACUGUAAUGGCCCUGUGUAGGACGUAAUAAGACGUAAUACGUAUCAUGUAUUCAUGUCGUGUAGUUUUAACUACAUAAAUACUACUUAGAAGUUAGAAGUUGUCAACAAACUAAACAGUAAACAUAAAAAUAGUCGUCAAAGAAUGGUGAUAAACGUCAAUCGCUGUGCCUGCGAGCCGCAUAUAAGGGUUUUUUGCUAAAAAUAGAAUCAGUUAUCAGAUUAUAUAUUAUUAUCUUCGUCAUUCUCCAAGUACACUGUACGGCGGUUGUGUGUUUAUGUCUGAUAAUUGGUACUCGAGUCUACGUCGUUAUUAUUUUUCUUGAUUAAAACGGUAUGGUGACAGCUUUUCAUCGAAAUCCGUGUUUAGUUUAAAUAAUUAAUCUUGUUCAUCACGGGUUUUACGCGCUUGUUGUUGUUUUCCUCACUUGGUGGUAGUAACCUACUUAGUCAUGUCGAAAAAAAACGAUAUUUUUAACAUUUUUAAAAUGAAACCACGGGAAUCAACUCCAAGCAUUGUGAAUCCACAUGAUACUUCUAGUGAUCUGAUGGGUCCUAAAGAUUUGGGAAGUAUAGAAACUGGUCCAUUUCAGCCAAAACUUCAAACAUAUCCAAAAAAGUUGUAUGGUUCCCAAAAUCGUGGAAUUUCUGCAUCAUACUUUGCUGAAUAUAAUUGGUUGGAAUAUAGCUUAGAAACUGCAGAUUCAGUGUAUUGCUUUCCUUGUCGGAUUUUUAGUACUACACCUUCAGAAGAAACAUUUACCUCAAAAGGUUUUAAUAACUGGAAAAAAUGGGUCUAAAGGUAUUGCCAAAGGUUCAAAAUCAAAAUUGCAACUACACUCAUCUACUAUCUACCAUAUAAAUUGUAUGACAAAAUGGUCUAUGCGUAAACUAGCAGAUCAGUCUGGUUCUAUACAUACUUCAUUGUAUAAUGCCCACUGUGAAGUAGUAGUUAAAAAUCAAAACUAUAUUAAAGGUCUCAUCGAUAUUUUAUUAUUUCUUGCACGCCAAGGUCUAGCGUUUAGAGGCCACAAUGAAAGCGAUACUUCACUAAACCAAGGAAACUUUAAAGAGAUGUGUAAGCCUCUUUCUGACUAUAAUUCUAACUUCAAUGAUAUGUUUAGUCAUGAAAUAAUCAAUUAUACUAGUCCUAAGAUACAAAAUGAGCUAAUUGAGAUCUGUGCUGACAAUUUAUUGAAUAUUAUAGUUGAUGAAGUUAAUGAAGUAUCUUUUUUUUCAAUUAUGUGCGAUGAAGCCAAGUAAUUGGUUCUUAAACACUAAAGUUAAAACUAGGUUUUGUGGAUGUUUCUACUAAUCAAAAUGCUGAUUCUCUUUCAUCAGCUAUUAUUUUAUUUUAAAAAAAAAUUACCUUAGACAAAAUACCAAUUAUUGCACAAAGCUAUGAUGGAGCAAGUGUUAUGUCAGGUACUAGAGGUGGUGUACAGAAGAAGCUAAAAGAUUAUUAUCCAUAUGCUGUGUAUAUACAUUGUAUGGCACAUAAACUUAACUUGGUUAUACUAGAUAUGUGUAAAAACAUAAUGCAAUCUUAAACUGUAUUCAAUGCAUUAGAGCCUAUCUAUGUACACUUCUCGCAACCUUCAAAUAAUACAAAACUGCAAGACAUACAAAAGAAUUUGAAUAUGAAAAAAAUUGCACUUACUGCUAUUAGUGAUACAAGAUGGGUAUGUCAUUAUAAGAAUAGUAAAUCAGUUAUUGAAAAUUUUAAAUUUAUUGCAAUUGUUUUACAAAAUUAAGUUGAUGAAAAUAAUGAUAGGGAUAUUUCCAGAGCUAUUGGAAUUUUAGCAAUGAUACAAAAUGGUUCCUUUAUUGUUCAUCUUCAUAUUAUAAAUUAUGUAUUGGGUAUCACCAAUAUUUUAAGCAAUAAAUUGCAAAAUACAAAUGGGACAUUAGGUGAAGCCGCUUGUCUAAUUAAUGGAAUUAUAAAUACAUUUGAAAAUAGUAGAAAUUCAGAUUCAUACUCAGAUGUUUGGAAUGCAAUAGUCACAUUUUCUCUUGAAAAUAAUAUAGAUUUGGAAAUGCCUUCGACAAUAGCUUCAUUAUCAAAAAGAAAAAUACAAGAGCCUGCAGCAUUAAAGGAUUUUCAUGUUACAACAGCCACUGGUGCAGACGAUGAAGGUAUUCAAUAUGAAGAUAAUGCCAAAGAAUAUUGGAAAAAACAUGUUUUCUAUCCUGUGAUUGAUAAUAUUGUAGUUUACAUGAAACACAGAUUUUUACCAGAAAGUCUUAAACUGGCCAUAUAAAUUGAUAACUUCAUAAAUUUAGACUAUAAACAAAGUGAAAUUUUUUUAAACCAGUAUAAGGCUUUAUUAAAUAUUGUUAAAAAAAAUUUGUUGUGAUACUCAAUUGGAAAAGAUUAUUAACAGUCAUCAGGAACAAUUAAAGCAGUUAAAGGGUAUCAUGGAAAAAUCUGUUUUCCCAAAUUUAUACAAAAUGCUACAUUUAGUGCUUUCAAUUCCAAUAAGUUCUACAUCUUGUGAAAGAACAUUCUCAGCGAUGCGUCGAAUAAACAUUUACAUAAGGUCAACCAUGCUACCAAAUCGAUUUUCAAAGUUAUCUAUCAUAGCAAUUGAGAGAGAUUUGUCAAGCGUUCUAAACAAAGAAGACAUUUUAAAUAAAUUUGCCAAUACUGAGCGGAGGCUUAAGCUGAAAUAGUUAUCUUUAAAAUGUCUUUAAAGUUCACUUACGUUUUAAGAAUUAUCUUGUAUCUAAAACAAUACUUACCAAUAUGUUAUAAUUGUAAUGUUUACCUACCUCAAUACCACUUUUUUAUUAUUUGUUUUAUACAUGCCAUACACACUACAAAAUGUUAAGUAAAUAAUAAUAAAAUAAUAUUUUAAUUUAAUAAUUAAUGUUAUUUGAGGAACGAGUAUAGGGGGUGUAGGGGGCGGAGCUCCCCACAUUUGUUUUUUAUCUUAAAUAUGUUAGGGCUGAAGCCCCCCCCCCCCCUAUCUUUAAGGUCUAGUUACGCCUAUGAAAGGGGGUUAAAUACCGAUCGUCUGCCGUCAAUUAUGUAUACAAUAAUAAGCGACAGUGGACAAAAUGCGAAUCAUGUUAUAUGUAUAAUCAUUAAACAUUUAUACCUAAAACAACUGUACUGUAUAAUAAAUACAAUAUAUAUAAUAGCUGUGUAGGUACGGUAUGCGUGUUCGUUGUCCACAUUGGUUUUUUAUAUUAAAUAUGUUAGGGCUUAAGCCCCCCCCCCCCCCUAUCUUUAAGGUCUAG